Ziziphus jujuba (common jujube) is the source of this 3359-nucleotide RNA transcript. RefSeq lists it as uncharacterized. Lineage: Eukaryota; Viridiplantae; Streptophyta; Magnoliopsida; Rosales; Rhamnaceae. The record is from RefSeq and is a predicted model, not a curated record. The transcript has 11 exons.
CUUAUAUAUAUAUAUAUAUAUAUAUAUAAGCAUGCUGAUGCAUAUAUGCAAAUGUAGGUAGCAGCAAAAUUUAAUAUUUGAUCAAUUUGUAUAUAUUGAGAGAAUAUGGGAAACCAACCUCCUCGCGGUAAUCUUGUCCCUCGAGCUCCAUGGGCGGUCCGGGUCCUCGGGGUCGUCGUUGUCCUCCUGGCUUUGGUCCUCUUGGUUUGAUUCCAAGUCUUAUUCCUGAUGUUACAAUUGUGAUUAAUCCUCCUCCACCACCCCCCGGCAAACCAGAAGACUCCUCCGACUCCGAUUCAGAUGGUGAGUCACAUGGUGGAACUCGGAAGAAACUGACAUCAUAACUUGCUAUCUAGGAUUUCCUUUCCAGUUUCCCUUUCAAAAAUCACGAUUGCGAUUGCCACCCAGAGGCAAAGGAGAGCACACUAUUGUUGUUGUCAAUCGCUAUAUUCUGACCUCUCUAGUCAUUGCCGCAGCCACAGGUAGCGCCGCAGCGACCGUCCGUCAUUGUAAAGCAGCACCUGCACAGCUUUCGGGACUUUCGGGACUUUCGGGAAGAGGGAUAGUCUUGUGUAUAAGUAUAGUAUUUCUGAUAGAACCUGCCCAACCCAACUAAGAAGAAUUGAACAAAAUUGCCCAACUGCCAGUCUUGCGUGAAAAUGCACAGAAAAGCUGGUUUGAACGAAAUGCAUAAUCUGUUGAGUUGCUUAUGGAUGACGAUGAGAGUGAUGAGGAAAAAGUGAAGAACCAUAAGCAAAAAAAAGUCAUCUCUGCAAAUUUGAAAAAGCUGCAGCAGAUAAAUGGAUUUAGAUUACCAAUGAAGGUUUUGGGACUUGGAGCUAUCGAGGGCAAAGGUUAAUUGUAGAUCGAACUUCUGGAAAGCUGUGUCGGAUAUUAAGUUCAAGUUGACUCCAGCCCAAAUAAAGAAGUUCGAGGAUAGCUGUUUUGGCCACUUUUUGAAGGCCAACGAGAUACAAUUUAGUAGCCACAUCGUCAACAACAUGCUGUAUAGGCAGUGUGUUUGCGACGAUAAAGAUUCUAUGGUAUUCAAUUUUGGAGGGCGUGGUGCUAGAUUUACGCGGAGAGACUUCACCAUAAUUACAGGUCUACGGUUUGGUUACGAACCCAAUAGGCGGGUUAACAUCUCUACUCGUAUUAGUGACAUAUAUUUUGGUGGAAAGCGAAAGGUCACUAACUCGGAAAUAACCGAAGAUUUCAUGACCGUACAGUGUCAAGACGAUGAUGAAGCUAAAGAUGAUAGAUUGAAGUUGGCUUUAUUAUAUUUCCUAGAGACAAUUCUUCUAGGCAAAGAAAGCAUGGCCACUUGGAGAUAGUGGACGAUUUAAAGUACUUCAAUAACUAUCCAUGGGGUACUUUAUCAUAUACCACCACCAUUAGAUCGUUGAAGAGUGCUUUUGAGCAUAGAGAGUCCACGGCUUUAAACAAGUCAAAGAGUUAUAGUCUUUGUGGGUUUCCUUUGGCUUUCAUGGUUAAGCAUUUGGAAAGAAGUUGCGGGACAUGGCAUUCCCUCGAAUUCUUAAUUGGCAUAUUUCACAAGUGCCAAGAUUUGAAAAGGCCACUGAACUCUUCGAUCAUCGUGAUUAUCCCGUUCAUGGCUUAAUGAAUGUAACAAAUUUGAGCAUGCAUAUAUUGGGAAAAUUGUAUGGGAUGUACAUCAUGACACUACUCCAUACAAUGUUGCACCUGCUAUCUGAGACAAGCCACCACAGGGAAGUCAUGAUGAAAAAGAUGAAGGUCUUCCACUUACAAGUAGUGGAAGAAGUAAGAAACGAAAAGAGGCAUAUGUGGAAAUUAAGGGUAAAGGAGGGAGGCGGUGAAUGGGAGAUAAGCCGACAGACCAGCCUUCAUUAUCGACUGCAGGAGUUGUUGCUCAUGUUCAUGUUAAACCAUUGACUCCAUCCUAACCUCCAAUGACUCCAUCCCAUGAUGAGGUACCUUUGAGAGAGAGAUUAACUAUACUUGAAGGCGAAGUGGCUAAUGUACGGCAAGACGUUAAGGAUUUAAGAAUCGCCAUGCUUAGAGAGUUUGCAAGUUUGGAGACCAAGCUUGAUAAGUUAAUGAAGCACCAACGAGUGGGAGUUGGUGCUGACGGGUUAGGAGAUGGGAUGGAAGCGGACGUUGAAGGGGAUGAAAAUAAAGAAGAGUUUGGUCCCAAUGCGACCCCUGUUGAUAGACAGUCAUGUCCAUCCAUUGUAGAUGAUGCAGGACCAAGUGUUACGAUUAUCGAGAAAGUGUCUCCAUCAAAGUUUCCUACCGGAAGACGUGUAAGAAAGGUAGCAGCUGCUAAGCAAAGUAUAGAUAUUUGGAGGCGGGAUAGGAAGGUGGCAGCAACUAUUAUAACUCCUUACAGUGUUGGAGGCUUGCGGAAAAAACUACAGCGCAUUUUACCCGGUGCAUCUUCUACUUUGAAGUUCGACCCAUACAAACCAAUACCCAUGUGACUUGUAAAAAUUUUUGACCAAUUUAUGAAGUUCGGUUGGGCAGCAAAGGUUGAUAUGGACAUUUUAUCUGCAGGUAAAGACUUUUUCCAGUUGCUUAUAACCAGUGAGAAGUGGCUAAAUCACAAUCAUAUGGAAGUCCUGCCUUACUUAUUUCAUGUACGUGCCAAUCGAUUCCCUGAUGUUUUUGAUCCUAGUUUUGAGGUGAUAGAUGGAGGAUUUUAGGUAUACAUUGAGCAGUGUUAUGGAAAGUUCCUCACCAAUCCAUCCAAGUUCCACUUCUCAUAUGCAAUGCAAGAAUAUGUAUUGGGGAUUCGAAUGAAGGAGUCGAAGCCAUGGAAAUGCGUAAAUCAUUUGUUGAUUCUACUAAACAAGCGCAACAUACAUUGGAUGGUAGGGCACGUGGACUUGAAAGAGCGUCGUAUGACUGUAUAUGACUCAUAUAAGGCUGGCAACCGAAACAGGGAAGAAAUUUAUUUCUAGAAAUUAUGCAUUAUGUUACCUUAUUUACUAUGGUCUGCAUCUUUUUAUGAGCAGUGGUCGGAUCUUGUAGACUCCGUUGAUGAGUUUACAUGUGAAUUGGCACAAAAUUCCCUUUAGUAAAGUAACGGUGGUGACUGUGGCAUGUUUACACUCAAGACCAUUGAGUUUUUACAUGCUAGGUUACCAGUGACAUUCACACAAGAUGACAUGGAGUUCUUUAGGAAGAAGUAUGCAUAUGAGGCUUACAACAAAGAACUAAGCAUAUGAGCUAGGUGGUGAUGCAUUUUUCUUUCCUUUUGUCAUGUUUAUAGAUGCAUAUUCUUUAUUAUAUUAGAUUUUUAAUUGUAAAGAUAAUGGUGGCUUAUAAUGUUCAUUUAACAAAGAUAACGAUGUGUUAUUGAUAUAAAGAAUAACUAA